CCAUACCCGUCGGCUUCCAAGGCAAGGAAAAGGAAAAUUUUUUUCUCAAGUCCUCAAGUCCAUCUGUGUGACACUUCUCUUUCUCUCCCCAUUUCUGUUCUCCUUCCAAUCUUAAGCCCAAGCACUUGUUAUUUCAUCUUUUCAAGAGGAGCCAAGGAUUUCGUGUGCUCUCUAAUUCCCAAGCUGAAUCUGCCUUUCCUCUUCUGCGUUUUGUGUUUUGGGAAGAGAUCCACUAAAGCUGUGUAUGUCGAUGGAUCUUCCUUAUGGUGACUGCAUGCCGACAUCGGAGAAAUCGACAGAGAGCUCCUGCUCCUUGAAGAAGAAAUGCUGUCCGGCGUUAAACACGUUAAACAAAAGUGAAAACAGAAGAGAGGGGGGGUUUGAGUUGAGAGAGAGAGGAGGAAACAAUGCACAUGACCUUCACUAAAAGGACCAAAACACCCUUGGUCAAAAGAAUGAAAUAUAAGGAACUCAAGGGGCAAAAAUGUACACACUCGACUAGACAGAAGGACAAAAGUGGAAGAAGGAAGUGCAAACAAAAAGAUUGUUCAUUCCUGUUCAUCUGCGCAUAGCGGCUUUUAAGAUAUAA
Long non-coding RNA from Juglans microcarpa x Juglans regia, 589 nucleotides. RefSeq lists it as uncharacterized. The transcript is spliced from 2 exons. NCBI's taxonomy places the organism in Eukaryota, Viridiplantae, Streptophyta, Magnoliopsida, Fagales, Juglandaceae. The record is from RefSeq and is a predicted model, not a curated record.